This 343-nucleotide ribosomal RNA is filed under the name uncultured bacterium. RNAcentral describes it as "bacterial SSU rRNA". It matches the Rfam family "Bacterial small subunit ribosomal RNA", at positions 28 to 361 of the family's 1533-position model. The record is from RNAcentral.
GAUGAACGCUAGCGGCAGGCUUAAUACAUGCAAGUCGAGGGGUAACAUGGGUAGCAAUACCUGAUGACGACCGGCAAACGGGUGCGGAACACGUACGCAACCUUCCCAAAACUGGUGAAUAGACCCUCCGAAAGGAGGAUUAAUACACCGUAAGAUAAUGAGACGGCAUCGCCUUAUUAUUAUAGGCUUCGGUCGGUUUUGGAUGGGCGUGCGCCUGAUUAGGUAGUUGGCGGGGUAACGGCCCGACCAACGCCUGCGAUCAGUAACUGGUGUGAGAGCACGACCAGUCACACGGGCACUGAGACACGGGCCCGGACUCCUACGGGAGGCGAGCAGUAAGGAA